RNAcentral lists this ribosomal RNA (78 nucleotides) under Tricholoma matsutake. Its description in RNAcentral is "partial 18S ribosomal RNA". Lineage: Eukaryota; Fungi; Basidiomycota; Agaricomycetes; Agaricales; Tricholomataceae. The record is from RNAcentral.
CCCGAGAGCCAGCGACAACCUAACCAAGCUUUAUUCAAUAAUGAUCCUUCCGUAGGUGAACCUGCGGAAGGAUCAUUA